UACAGAGGGGGCAAGCGUUGUUCGGAAUUACUGGGCGUAAAGGGCGCGUAGGCGGCCUGCUAAGUCGAACGUGAAAUCCCUGGGCUCAACCCAGGAACUGCGUCCGAUACUGGUUGGCUUGAAUUCGGGAGAGGGAUGCGGAAUUCCAGGUGUAGCGGUGAAAUGCGUAGAUAUCUGGAGGAACACCGGUGGCGAAGGCGGCAUCCUGGACCGGCAUUGACGCUGAGGCGCGAAAGCCAGGGGAGCAAACGGG
Molecule: ribosomal RNA, 253 nt
Filed under: uncultured bacterium
Lineage: Bacteria
Description: partial 16S ribosomal RNA
Rfam family: Bacterial small subunit ribosomal RNA
Source: RNAcentral